This 688-nucleotide ribosomal RNA is filed under the name uncultured bacterium. RNAcentral's name for it is "bacterial SSU rRNA". It matches the Rfam family "Bacterial small subunit ribosomal RNA", at positions 8 to 689 of the family's 1533-position model. The record is from RNAcentral.
AGAGUUUGAUCAUGGCUCAGGAUGAACGCUAGCGGCAGGCUUAACACAUGCAAGUCGAGGGGUAACAGGAGUAGCUUGCUAUUUGCUGACGACCGGCGCACGGGUGCGUAACGCGUAUAGAAUCUACCUUAUACUGGGGGAUAGCCUUUGGAAACGAAGAUUAAUACCCCAUAGUAUUAUUUUUUGGCAUCAUUAAAUAAUUAAAGUUUCGGCGGUAUAAGAUGACUAUGCGUUCUAUUAGUUAGUUGGUAAGGUAACGGCUUACCAAGACUUCGAUAGAUAGGGGUCCUGAGAGGGAGAUCCCCCACACUGGUACUGAGACACGGACCAGACUCCUACGGGAGGCAGCAGUGAGGAAUAUUGGACAAUGGAGGCAACUCUGAUCCAGCCAUGCCGCGUGUAGGAAGACUGCCCUAUGGGUUGUAAACUACUUUUAUAUGGGAAGAAUAAGAUCUACGUGUAGAUUGAUGACGGUACCAUAAGAAUAAGCACCGGCUAACUCCGUGCCAGCAGCCGCGGUAAUACGGAGGGUGCAAGCGUUAUCCGGAAUCAUUGGGUUUAAAGGGUCCGUAGGCGGGCAUAUAAGUCAGUGGUGAAAGUCUGUGGCUUAACCAUAGAAUUGCCAUUGAUACUGUAUGUCUUGAAUUAUUGUGAAGUGGUUAGAAUAUGUAGUGUAGCGGUGAAAUGC